AGCCGGGUCCCGCGCAACGAGGUGUGACAAACUCCGCCAGGUCCGGAAGGAAGCAACGGUAGUCAUUUCCUUCGUGUGCCGCGGGGGCGCCUGGCUGCC
RNAcentral lists this signal recognition particle RNA (99 nucleotides) under Deltaproteobacteria bacterium RBG_13_65_10. Its description in RNAcentral is "signal recognition particle sRNA small type". It matches the Rfam family "Bacterial small signal recognition particle RNA". From Rfam's summary of the family: The signal recognition particle (SRP) is a universally conserved ribonucleoprotein involved in the co-translational targeting of proteins to membranes. Archaeal SRP consists of a 7S RNA and homologues of the eukaryotic SRP19 and SRP54 proteins. The record is from RNAcentral. Lineage: Bacteria; Deltaproteobacteria.